Molecule: long non-coding RNA, 3718 nt
Filed under: Sus scrofa (pig)
Lineage: Eukaryota; Metazoa; Chordata; Mammalia; Artiodactyla; Suidae
Description: lncRNA (ENSSSCG00005013140.1)
Source: RNAcentral
UUUUUUUUUUCCUACCACACAUUGUGUCACUCGGUCUGCACUGGGAAAAAAAUGUGCUUUAUGACAAGAGCAUUGAGCUCCCUGGGAGCGUGGUAGAUGCAGCUUUAUCUCAGUGCAUAUUCAAUGGGAAGUCAUAGUGGCUUCCUUGUAAUAAAAGGCUUUAUUGUGCUUCGUAAUGAAGACACAAAGCACUUAGUUGAAAUCACAGUCUUUUAAACUAAUCUGCUUUCUAUUCUAUAGUGGAGUCACAGAUACAAGGGAAUUCAAAGCGAUUUCUACAAAACGAUUUACUCAAAGAAGCCAUAUGCGGCAACCUCUCUGAUGCCCAGGUACUCUCUCUGGGGUCAGAGCUUCUCCCCCUCUCCCUUUUCCUCCCGCGUUGACGGUGUGCACGCUCUGAUCUUUCUCAGUGUUUAUCCUGCUUGUGAGGGCUGGUAGAUUUCCCCACAAAAACCAUUACAUAUUAUAUGAUCUCAACCAGGGCAUAAAAAUCCUGUACCACCCACAGUCUCCACACACACACACACACACAGGCACACACACACACGCCCUUGCACACCAGAAUACAAGAGAGCUAGCUCAGUGGAGGGGAGGAUUUUAAAGCUUUUAAAUAAAGAUGAUAACUGUUGUUGGACUGCACAAAGAUACAGAGUAAUUAAAAAGCUCUUCAAAGAAUGGUUAAAUAAUUUUUCAGAAACACUGUAAGAAACACUUCUUGCUGUUUCGUUCUCUCACAAUGAAGCGAAGGAAGAAUAUCUCAUUUUCCAAAUGGAACUUUAUGGAGUUUUCAAUAAGCCCCCUCAGCACUUAUCUAAAUCUUUAAUUAGUUCUAUAAUAUACUGAUGAUAUCAAGCCUAAUUAAAUUUAUAUAGAUAAGGCGCAAUGAAAUUCUAACCAAGUGAGCUGGAAAGCAUAUAUUAAAUAGUAAAUUUAAUGGUUCAAGCUGAUAACUACAAUUUUAUAUCAAAAAAUUAAAUUCAAUUUACAUGUUGUAUUCAAAUUGAUUUUGAGUGUGCAAAUUAUUGGAAAAAUCUCUUGAAUAGAUCAGUAAAAUUGCUAAUCCAGCCUGUUUAAAUAUCAGUUAUUAAUGUCUGCAUUUGCAAAUAAGCCACACACAUUUGCAUUUUUACUGCACAUAGUAAAAAAUUAUCUAAACCUUAUGCCAUUUUAUUAAGAAUACGAAGUGAUUUUUCUUUUGGCUUCAUGCAUAAAUUAAGGAGGCAAAGAAAUGACUGACUAUUGGCCUAAAGAAGAAAGAGUCAGCAACUUAGUAUAUGGCAAGGCAAAGAUGACACACACAUAUAUGUAUAUAGGUUAUAUAUACAUAUUUUUUUUUUACUAAAGCAAUAUAUCUUACCCUUUGGGAACAGCAAUUACAAUGGUAAAAUUCCCUCUUACUCACUAUCAACUAGACUGGAACUGUACAUAAACAUGUGAUGUCAUAAUCACAGGUAGAGAGGCUGCACACAAAUAUGGUGGUGUCUCCCACUAGUUUGGGGAAGAGAAACGCUUUGCUGUAUUUAUCAGAGGGUAAAGGUAGAAAUAUGCUUAGGAAGUUAUAUUAAAUAUUCACUUGACUAGUCAAAGAGAAGGCCCAGCGACUUUACCAUCUAUGUUGAUUGACAGUAGUACCAAUUCUUCAUUUCCACCGGUGACUGGCUACCCCUCAAAAGCAUCAGCAUUAAGCAUGCAUAAAACAUAUAUGAGUAGUAAGGAUAUGACAAAUAUUAUUAAUGGAGCCUCAGUGACCUCAGAAUUAGCUGUGUAUUUGUAAAGUGUGUGCAGUGAUCACUCUGGGCCAGCCGUUAUCUGCUUUUCCCCAAACAUACCUGUAUUAAAGGAUAAUAAAGGUGUCUUUGAUGCCACUGGUUAGAAAGCUAUCUUUGAAAUAAUCAAAUAUUUGUUAAACACCCAUUAUAUGUCAUGUGCUUGCAUCAUGGGAGAUGCAAAGACUAUGCCAAUGACUUUAGAGGACAGAAGUAAGUAAGCGAGAUGAUUUUAGAUUAGUAUAGUUAAUCACUCCAAAAAAAGGGGUGGGAGUGUGAGGCGUUUUAAGAGCGGGCAGUUUAAGAAUGAGUAACAAAGGCCAGAAGAAAGGCCUGGAGACCAGACUCUAAAUCACAUGUAAGGAGGACUGUGAGAUCAGUGGGAACAGAAGAUUCUGGAAGAAAUAAUGGGAGAAGAAGCUAGCCAUUUAAGAAAGGACAGUAAUUAACAGAAUUUUUAUUCAAGCCUACAAAGUCUGUGCUGGAGAGAGUGCUUAUUCAAAAAGUCACUCUAUGGAUUGUGCAAAAAAUUAAUUUAAGGGAAACGGUAUCACAAAGGAUGGCUAAAGUGACGAGAAUAAAAGACAUAAACAUCAGCUACUGCACUGUUGUUUUAUUUCAGGUGUGAUGUGGUAGUGCUGGUGGGAAAAACAGAACAGGGGUCAAAUGGAGCACCAUUUUGAGGAAGAGUCCACGAGGGUAUAAUAGGCUCACAUGACACAUGGAUGAGCCACAACAGGUGUUAGUUUUUGCAAUGUAAACACUAAGGUUAAGGGAUGGGGAAUACAACUAAGAUCCAGACCUGGCCGAUCUUAAGCCUGCUCUUACAGAGAACCCCAACCAAAGAGAAUGAACCUAUUUUUACUGUCUGAAAACAUGGAGGAACAAUUGCUAGGACCAGAAAAGAAGGAUAGAAGAGAAUUAGGAGCCAACACCUGUCUGGAUUUCCCCACUGAGUGGACAACACUGUCAAGUUUAGAAAUGAAAGAUUGCCUUAUGAGAAGAUGAGUUUUUUCGAAUGUAAACUCUUCAAUAAAGUGAAAAUCUGUGUCUUCUGAAAUUCGAUGCCCAUGGUAGUUCAUUCCAUGGGGACAGCUAAGCAAAAUGAUAUGAACCCCUUGGUGGGGGUGGGGGGUUAUCUGCUCUGAAUGGAGGACCAUGACGGUGGACAGUGAGGACAGGUAAGAUUGGACCAUUUCAUCACUAGCAAGGCUGUCUGUUAUGAUCCCUAACUUUCUGUUCAGAAUGUUCCAAGGAUGACAGAGGGCCAAAGAGAAAGGCUUUAGAAUUUCAUAGCACUUUACGAGAAUUUGGUAAAAUCAUGGACUGUUUUGUCAGAGAAAAUUAACAUCCACAUCCAGAUUUUGCACAUAAUUUGGGGGUGUUUAGGACCCCCUGAAGUUUCAUCAGGCACUUCAAGUUAGGAUUAUAUGGCUUUUACUCAGAAUACCACACUCCCAGAUACACACACACACACACCCAACUUAUAUCUACAUAGAGAAACACUCAUCUUCUCUACAUGAACAUACACUGAUGUGCAUGCAUAUGUAUUUAUGUACCUAUGUAUCUAUUAAUAAGGCUGCAUGUAGCUCUCUCUCACCUACUUCUUUUUCUCAUCAAUCAGAAUCUCUAUUCAGACCAGAUGGAAGCAGGAGACUGGGGUAAAGCAAAGGUGGGUGGAUCAUUCCAAGGUGCAGCAAGGAAAUUGAAGGAAGAAACCUUAGUUUCAUCGGGAGUAGCAACGCAAGUUAUGGGAUUUACUGUAUGGACACACAUAUGGAUAUCUUUACACAUGCACUUGGAGUGCUUUGAGAUUGCUGGGUAAGCAAGUGUUCAGUUAUCUUGAUUUUUAGGGUCCUUGCCUAGAGCCAGUCAAGCUCUAGAGAGGGCUUGGAUCAAACUGAUAGCCCAGGGGUCUUACAAAAAGCCCUCGUUAUCACCGCUGGUGACAU